This 592-nucleotide ribosomal RNA is filed under the name Microdytes n. sp. NHM-IR85. Its description in RNAcentral is "SSU rRNA". It matches the Rfam family "Eukaryotic small subunit ribosomal RNA", at positions 32 to 594 of the family's 1831-position model. The record is from RNAcentral. Lineage: Eukaryota; Metazoa; Arthropoda; Insecta; Coleoptera; Dytiscidae.
UUGUCUCAAAGAUUAAGCCAUGCAUGUCUCAGUACAAGCCGCAUUAAGGUGAAACCGCGAAAGGCUCAUUAAAUCAGUUAUGGUUCCUUAGAUCGUACCCACAUUUACUUGGAUAACUGUGGUAAUUCUAGAGCUAAUACAUGCAAACAGAGCUCCGACCGGAGACGGGAGGAGUGCUUUUAUUAGAUCAAAACCAAUCGGCGGCGGGCGCGUCCGCGCGCCCGUUCGCCGCUCAACCUGGUGACUCUGAAUAACUUUGUGCUGAUCGCACGGUCUCGCACCGGCGACGCAUCUUUCAAAUGUCUGCCUUAUCAACUGUCGAUGGUAGGUUCUGCGCCUACCAUGGUCGUAACGGGUAACGGGGAAUCAGGGUUCGAUUCCGGAGAGGGAGCCUGAGAAACGGCUACCACAUCCAAGGAAGGCAGCAGGCGCGCAAAUUACCCACUCCCGGCACGGGGAGGUAGUGACGAAAAAUAACGAUACGGGACUCAUCCGAGGCCCCGUAAUCGGAAUGAGUACACUUUAAAUCCUUUAACGAUGAUCAAUUGGAGGGCAAGCCUGGUGCCAGCAGCCGCGGUAAUUCCAGNUCCAA